This 485-nucleotide ribosomal RNA is filed under the name uncultured bacterium. RNAcentral describes it as "bacterial SSU rRNA". It matches the Rfam family "Bacterial small subunit ribosomal RNA", at positions 28 to 507 of the family's 1533-position model. The record is from RNAcentral.
GAUGAACGCUAGCUACAGGCUUAACACAUGCAAGUCGAGGGCAGCACUAGGUAGCAAUACUGAGGUGGCGACCGGCGCACGGGUGCGUAACGCGUAUCCAACCUUCCCGUUACUCUUGGAUAGCCUUCCGAAAGGGAGAUUAAUACAAGAUGGUAUUCAAAUUCCGCAUGUUAUUUGAAUUAAAGAUUUAUCGGUAACGGAUGGGGAUGCGUGACAUUAGAUAGUAGGCGGGGUAACGGCCCACCUAGUCUACGAUGUCUAGGGGUUCUGAGAGGAAGGUCCCCCACACUGGAACUGAGACACGGUCCAGACUCCUACGGGAGGCAGCAGUGAGGAAUAUUGGUCAAUGGUCGGAAGACUGAACCAGCCAAGUAGCGUGAAGGAUGAAGGUUCUAUGGAUUGUAAACUUCUUUUAUACGGGAAUAAAACCUCCCACGUGUGGGAGCUUGUAUGUACCGUAUGAAUAAGCAUCGGCUAACUCCGUG